AAAGGGAGACCUAAUUCAGGUAUGGGACGAAAAAAAAUAAUCCCUUCCCAAAAUCCAUCCCCAAAAGGCCGAACGAAGGCUGAGGUGUUUUUCCUACUAUGUGCUGGCUUCAAACACCAGCUGCAUGAAGAACGGCGAUUAUCUCCUGUGGUGGUAACACCCCCCCCCUGAUGGUGAGGACGCUGCUGCUACUACUCCAUGAUGCACCUGCUGCGGUGGUGGAAAAAACGAAGAAAGGAAGAAUCACCUUCUUCUCUUAUAUAUAUAUGAGAGAAAGAAUGCUCUGACUAAAUACUCAAUACGAACCAUGCUUGCUGACUGGAUAGAGGUGAGUGAACCAACCAAAAAGAACGAACGCA
Molecule: unclassified non-coding RNA, 359 nt
Filed under: uncultured Microcystis sp.
Lineage: Bacteria; Bacillati; Cyanobacteriota; Cyanophyceae; Chroococcales; Microcystaceae
Description: partial 16S-23S ribosomal RNA intergenic spacer
Source: RNAcentral